RNAcentral lists this small nucleolar RNA (132 nucleotides) under Tursiops truncatus (common bottlenose dolphin). Its description in RNAcentral is "Small nucleolar RNA SNORA72 (ENSTTRG00000021911.1)". It matches the Rfam family "Small nucleolar RNA SNORA72". From Rfam's summary of the family: U72 is a member of the H/ACA class of snoRNAs. Lineage: Eukaryota; Metazoa; Chordata; Mammalia; Artiodactyla; Delphinidae. The record is from Rfam by way of RNAcentral. RNAcentral also lists the same sequence under 4 other names.
CUGCGAAUAUUCUCGCUGUUCUGAUGUUGUAAUAAUCAGGGCAGGCUAAACAUUCGCUAUAUUAAGACCAUGCAUGUGUCCCCGGACCUAGUUCUUUUCCUAGGUCUGGUUUUAUAAAUGCUGGUGAUAAAC